This 491-nucleotide ribosomal RNA is filed under the name uncultured bacterium. RNAcentral's name for it is "partial 16S ribosomal RNA". It matches the Rfam family "Bacterial small subunit ribosomal RNA", at positions 29 to 506 of the family's 1533-position model. The record is from RNAcentral.
AGUGAACGCUGGCGGUAGGCCUAACACAUGCAAGUCGAACGGCAGCACAGUAAGAGCUUGCUCUUACGGGUGGCGAGUGGCGGACGGGUGAGGAAUACAUCGGAAUCUACUUUUUCGUGGGGAUAACGUAGGGAAACUUACGCUAAUACCGCAUACGACCUACGGGUGAAAGCAGGGGAUCUUCGGACCUUGCGCGAUUGAAUGAGCCGAUGUCGGAUUAGCUAGUUGGCGGGGUAAAGGCCCACCAAGGCGACGAUCCGUAGCUGGUCUGAGAGGAUGAACCGCCCAACUGGGACUGGGACCCGGUCCCGACCCCCAGCGGGGGGCACCUGGGGGGAAAUUGGAACAGGGGGCGAAACCCUAAUCCAGCCAUGCCGGGGGGGGAAAGAAGGCUUUGGGUUUGUAAAGCCUUUUUGUUGGAAAAAAAAAACAGCAGGUUAAAACCCCGCUUUUCUGGCGGUCCCAAAAAAAGAAGGACCGCCCAACUGCGU